UGGGGAAUAUUGGACAAUGGGGGCAACCCUGAUCCAGCCAUGCCGCGUGAGUGAAGAAGGCCUUCGGGUUGUAAAGCUCUUUUCCUUGUGACGAUAAUGACGGUAGCAAGGGAAUAAGCCCCGGCUAACUCCGUGCCAGCAGCCGCGGUAAUACGGAGGGGGCGAGCGUUGUUCGGAAUUACUGGGCGUAAAGGGCGCGUAGGCGGUUUGACAAGUCAGGCGUGAAAGCCCAGGGCUCAACCCUGGAAAUGCGUUUGAUACUGUCAGGCUAGAGUGUGGAAGAGGCAAGUGGAAUUCCCAGUGUAGAGGUGAAAUUCGUAGAUAUUGGGAAGAACACCAGAGGCGAAGGCGGCUUGCUGGUCCACAACUGACGCUGAGGCGCGAAAGCGUGGGGAGCAAACAGG
Molecule: ribosomal RNA, 404 nt
Filed under: uncultured bacterium
Lineage: Bacteria
Description: bacterial SSU rRNA
Rfam family: Bacterial small subunit ribosomal RNA
Source: RNAcentral